This 165-nucleotide ribosomal RNA is filed under the name Oxalis reclinata. RNAcentral describes it as "5.8S ribosomal RNA". It matches the Rfam family "5.8S ribosomal RNA". Rfam says of the family: 5.8S ribosomal RNA (5.8S rRNA) is a component of the large subunit of the eukaryotic ribosome. It is transcribed by RNA polymerase I as part of the 45S precursor that also contains 18S and 28S rRNA. Lineage: Eukaryota; Viridiplantae; Streptophyta; Magnoliopsida; Oxalidales; Oxalidaceae. The record is from RNAcentral.
AAAAUGACUCUCGGCAACGGAUAUCUCGGCUCUCGCAUCGAUGAAGAACGUAGCGAAAUGCGAUACUUGGUGUGAAUUGCAGAAUCCCGUGAACCAUCGAGUCUUUGAACGCAAGUUGCGCCCCAAGCCUUUAGGCCGAGGGCACGCCUGCCUGGGUGUCACACG